This 683-nucleotide ribosomal RNA is filed under the name uncultured bacterium. RNAcentral's name for it is "bacterial SSU rRNA". It matches the Rfam family "Bacterial small subunit ribosomal RNA", at positions 801 to 1499 of the family's 1533-position model. The record is from RNAcentral.
GGGUACUUGAUUCUCACUGUUUGCGAUACACAGCAAGCGGCUUAGCGAAAGCGUUAAGUAAUCCACCUGGGGAGUACGUUCGCAAGAAUGAAACUCAAAGGAAUUGACGGGGGCCCGCACAAGCGGAGGAACAUGUGGUUUAAUUCGAUGAUACGCGAGGAACCUUACCCGGGCUUGAAAUGCAUCUGACCGGCACAGAGACGUGCCUUCCCUUCGGGGCAGAUGUGUAGGUGCUGCAUGGUUGUCGUCAGCUCGUGCCGUGAGGUGUCGGCUUAAGUGCCAUAACGAGCGCAACCCUCAUUGUUAGUUACCAUCAGGUUAAGCUGGGGACUCUAACGAGACUGCCAUCGUAAGAUGUGAGGAAGGUGGGGAUGACGUCAAAUCAGCACGGCCCUUACGUCCGGGGCGACACACGUGUUACAAUGGGUGGUACAAAGGGCAGCUACAUGGCGACAUGAUGCUAAUCUCCAAAACCACUCUCAGUUCGGAUCGAAGUCUGCAACUCGACUUCGUGAAGCUGGAUUCGCUAGUAAUCGCGCAUCAGCCACGGCGCGGUGAAUACGUUCCCGGGCCUUGUACACACCGCCCGUCAAGCCAUGGAAGCUGGGGGUACCUGAAGUCCGUAACCGUAAGGAGCGGCCUAGGGUAAAACUAGUGACUGGGGCUAAGUCGUAACAAGGUAA